RNAcentral lists this long non-coding RNA (231 nucleotides) under Glycine max (soybean). Its description in RNAcentral is "long non-coding RNA (GMAX_LNC000057)". The record is from RNAcentral. Lineage: Eukaryota; Viridiplantae; Streptophyta; Magnoliopsida; Fabales; Fabaceae.
GGCGUUCUUUUCUAUCUUCUUUUAACGUGAUGAUAUCUAUUUCUUCUUUUUUCAAUGUUGUUCAUCUCCAAAUGAUUCGUAUCACUCCCAUUACAAUUUCAUUUCAAUGCUUUUUAAAGAUGUAAAUUAUGAUUUUUUAACCUCUUGGAUAAUUUUCUUUGGUGCAUAAGGAAUUCUUUUGUGACAACUAAAGAGACAAACUUGGGAGUAGUGUAAGUGGAUUUGAAAUAA